Molecule: ribosomal RNA, 460 nt
Filed under: uncultured bacterium
Lineage: Bacteria
Description: partial 16S ribosomal RNA
Rfam family: Bacterial small subunit ribosomal RNA
Source: RNAcentral
CCUACGGGGGGCUGCAGUGAGGAAUAUUGGUCAAUGGACGAGAGUCUGAACCAGCCAAGUAGCGUGAAGGAUGACUGCCCUAUGGGUUGUAAACUUCUUUUAUAUGGGAAUAAAAUGUUCCACGUGUGGGAUUUUGUAUGUACCAUAUGAAUAAGGAUCGGCUAACUCCGUGCCAGCAGCCGCGGUAAUACGGAGGAUCCGAGCGUUAUCCGGAUUUAUUGGGUUUAAAGGGAGCGUAGGUGGAUUGUUAAGUCAGUUGUGAAAGUUUGCGGCUCAACCGUAAAAUUGCAGUUGAAACUGGCAGUCUUGAGUACAGUAGAGGUGGGCGGAAUUCGUGGUGUAGCGGUGAAAUGCUUAGAUAUCACGAAGAACUCCGAUUGCGAAGGCAGUUCACUGGACUGCAACUGACACUGAGGCUCGAAAGUGUGGAUAUCAAACAGGAUUAGAUACCCUUGUAGUC